Molecule: ribosomal RNA, 530 nt
Filed under: Nigrospora sp.
Lineage: Eukaryota; Fungi; Ascomycota; Sordariomycetes; Amphisphaeriales; Apiosporaceae
Description: eukaryotic LSU rRNA
Rfam family: 5.8S ribosomal RNA (bases 175-328)
Source: RNAcentral
GGGACCGCGGAGGGAUCAUUACAGAGUUAUCCAACUCCCAAACCCAUGUGAACAUAUCUCUUUGUUGCCUCGGCGCAAGCUACCCGGGACCUCGCGCCCCGGGCGGCCCGCCGGCGGACAAACCAAACUCUGUUAUCUUCGUUGAUUAUCUGAGUGUCUUAUUUAAUAAGUCAAAACUUUCAACAACGGAUCUCUUGGUUCUGGCAUCGAUGAAGAACGCAGCGAAAUGCGAUAAGUAAUGUGAAUUGCAGAAUUCAGUGAAUCAUCGAAUCUUUGAACGCACAUUGCGCCCAUUAGUAUUCUAGUGGGCAUGCCUGUUCGAGCGUCAUUUCAACCCCUAAGCACAGCUUAUUGUUGGGCGUCUACGUCUGUAGUGCCUCAAAGACAUUGGCGGAGCGGCAGCAGUCCUCUGAGCGUAGUAAUUCUUUAUCUCGCUUCUGUUAGGCGCUGCCCCCCCGGCCGUAAAACCCCCAAUUUUUUCUGGUUGACCUCGGAUCAGGUAGGAAUACCCGCUGAACUUAAGCAUAUCA